AUGAAGGGUUCUGCUUGGAUAAUGAUAUCAUUGAACUUUGAAGUCCGCCAGUGCUAAUUUCCAAUUGUUUUGUUUUCCUAAACAAGCUCUAUUCAUUGGUGGUAAGCCACAGAAUCUUGUUACAAGCUCUCACGCAACUACUCGUAUAAUCUUACAAUUAAGGUGCCUAUUCUGAAAACAGGUCGUCGACAUUUGUAAACAAGAAGGGGUCAAGAUCAAAUCUUCAGCUCUGUCAAGAUGCAACGUAUGAUGAUCUGCACGAGAUAAGUGGACAGAGACAGAGACAGAGACAGAGACAGGGAAAAAUGCACGCAUAGCUUUCAAAUUUGACAAAGGAAAGACGUCGAAGCAAACGACUAGAGUGAACGAUUCAAGCAGAGCAAAAUCUCAAGGACAAGGACGUUUUCACCGUCAAUUCUGAGAAACAGAAGGUUUUUUUUUUCUUAUAUAUGUAAUCGGCAAGGAUGCCCUCUUCGAACUUAAAGACCAGCUUAGAAAAUGCGGCUUUCUUUCUGCGAUUAUCAAAGAUCGGCUCUUCAAGACAAAGCAGGGAACAGCAAUUUGCCAAAUUAUCCAGCUCAAGAUUCAACGAAUUGACAGAACUGUACAACGAACACGCUCCGCGACACAACAAGGCAAAAAUUGACAAAGUAGCCCAUUUAUUAGUGCAAAUAUUACAAGUUCAAGAAGUCCAAACUGUUAAGGAGUAUACCAUGAACGGAUAUACAUUUAAGGUUCACGUUCUGGAGGACACGGAACUAUGACAUGCGGAGAAUUGGGACAUCAUCUUGCAAUAAGGAAUUUACGGCAUAGUUGUAUAUACGUUCAGGACAACAAUGGCGAUUUGAAAUUAGGACAUUGCACCGAUAUCGGCGACAUUGAUAACAAAAGAAAUGGGGGAGGAUAAAGUCUGCAGACACGAAAUGAUAGUUAUUUGCGGUUUACAAUAAGUAGAGUAUCUUAAGGCCUUUUAACCCUGCAGAAUGAGUGAUUGAUAUCAAAUGGAACUCUGAAUUUUUCUCGCAUUAAUACUCUCUGGAAAUAUACUGAUGUAACCACUUUGUCACGCCACUUCUGGUUAUCAUCAGUCAAAAAAAAAGACCCCCCCCCCGAAAAAACUGUAACCUUCAAUUGUUACAUAUCUACUCCAUGUAAAUGUGGUAAAACGUUUCUUUAAUUCAAGUGAACCUGUCAUCUACAACACAGCGGUGUUGCUUCAGGAAACAAAA
Pocillopora verrucosa is the source of this 1229-nucleotide long non-coding RNA. RefSeq lists it as uncharacterized. NCBI's taxonomy places the organism in Eukaryota, Metazoa, Cnidaria, Anthozoa, Scleractinia, Pocilloporidae. The record is from RefSeq and is a predicted model, not a curated record.